Molecule: ribosomal RNA, 378 nt
Filed under: uncultured eukaryote
Lineage: Eukaryota
Description: partial 18S ribosomal RNA
Rfam family: Eukaryotic small subunit ribosomal RNA
Source: RNAcentral
CAAUAGCGUAUAUUUAAGUUGUUGCAGUUAAAAAGCUCGUAGUUGGAUUUCGGGUGGGACGCAGCGGUCUCGCAUUGCGUUUGUACUGCUGCAGCCCUCCUUCUUGCCGGGGGCGGCCUCUCGGACUUCACUGUCUGGGGGUCAGAAUCGGCGAUGUUACUUUGAGUAAAUUAGAGUGUUCAAAGCAAGCUUACGCUCUGAACAUAAUAGCAUGGGAUAACACGACAGGACUCUGGCCUAUCGUGUUGGUCUAUAGGACCAGAGUAAUGAUUAAGAGGGACAGUCGGGGGCAUUCGUAUUCCGUUGUCAGAGGUGAAAUUCUUGGAUUUACGGAAGACGAACAUCUGCGAAAGCAUUUGCCAAGGAUGUUUUCAUUGA